UCGCACCUUAGUGAGAUUGAGUUGGGUCACUUCGAGUUGCUGUCGUCUUUAUCUUCAGAGUCAGAGGUUUAUUUUCCUUGUACCAGAUUUAAAGCCUCCGUCUUUAUCUUCAGAGUCAGAGGUUUAUCACUUUUAUUUAUUUACUUGUCUCGCUUUAUUUUAUUUAUUUUCUUUCUACGCUUUACUUUAUUUAUUUUCUGUCUACGCUUUACUUUAUUUACUUUCUGUCUAUGCUUUACUUUAUUUACUUUCUGUCUACGCUUUAUUUUUAUUUAUUUUCUGUCUAUGCUUUACUUUAUUUACUUUCUGUCUACGCUUUAUUUUUAUUUACUUUCUGUCUACGCUUUACAUUAUU
This 355-nucleotide long non-coding RNA is filed under the name Lathyrus oleraceus (garden pea). RNAcentral's name for it is "Pisum sativum (pea) long non-coding RNA (PSAT_LNC022846)". The record is from RNAcentral. Lineage: Eukaryota; Viridiplantae; Streptophyta; Magnoliopsida; Fabales; Fabaceae.